CUUUUUUUUUUUUUUUGAUUUUUUUUUUUUUUCUCUCCCUGCUUCUAGGAUAAUUAAAAGAGAAACCUGUAAAAGGCAACAUUCCUGUGAGCGAGUUGGUGCUGCAACGUGCUGGUAAGAAAACGAGUUUAAUUUUUUUCAUCUUUUUUUUUUUUUUUUUUUUUUUGCUUUUUCUUUUUUUAAAGAGCUGAAGGCUUUGUCUGUCUAAUGCAGUCAUAAGCGUGGCUUCCCUGCCGUGAGGGGUUAGCGUAUAAUGAAAAGGUGUAAUAGCCUGAUGUACGACCUUCGCGUCAUACUUAUAAUGGUUAAUAACAGCAUUCCUGUCUACCCCGAUGAUGCUUCUCUCUGCAAAUGGACUAUUUGCCCAGUUGCAACAGGGCUAAGAUUGUCGCACUAUGACAAUGAGUUGUUGAUUGUUUGGAGUUGCGGUGUCCUGUCAGAAAGAUUUCUUGACUUUCUCCAAGUUACUUCCUUCCAGGGAUGUUACGGGUUUUAAUAGGUACCUUGCAGACCAUAACGAGUCUGCUGUUUACUCAUCAAACAGGAAGUGCAAUGAUGAAACUUUUUUUUAAGGAAUCCUAAUUGUCUUAGACUUCCUUAGUUCAGAUAAUGAAACAGACUAAAGUGAGUGCUCAGUAAAGUCAUUUUAAUCCCUUUCAUCUGUAACUAGUCAGGAGUUCAUUAGCCAACUAAGAAGAACCUACAUCAUUUGCAGACCUUGUAUUUGAGAUGCUAACUUUGUUCCUCAAAAGGACAAAUUUUUAUUCAACCCAAUUAAAUUCAACAAGUAUUUCUGUGUAUACUCUGCCUGGAACGGCUGCUGAGAAUGUGCUUGCCUGUUACUCUGUUGUGGGGGAAUAACUGAAAUUAGAUAGUGUAAAUUUUCAGCAACCAGAUUUUCUUACUACCUUUAGCACUGACCAGAUCACUUAAGACAUUUCAGAAUGUGUGACCGUUGGCUAUAAGAUAAAGUUCUCAAGGUUACAUAUCCUACAAUCAACGAACUUCUGUUCUUUUUCUGCAUGUAACUUUUGCUCAUGUGAAAAAUGCAACUCUGGCUACUAUAUUUUACAUCACAUCUUAAUGUUAUAAAGAAGAAAAAAACAUAGACAUCUCUUUUUUUGUACACUAAACAUGUCAUUUGAAAAUAUAUCCAUGUGUCAAACUUUGAGCUUAUCCAUAUUUUAGCCUCAGAAGCAGGAAGACACACGGAGAGGUUUAGGCUUGUCAAUGAGUCUGCUUGGAUUUGGGUCAAGAAACUUAGGAACUACAAUUUCUCUGUUUGUUUGGUUGUUUGUUUCCUUUAAAAGCACGUGUGAAACAGCAAGGAAUACAUUUUGCUUUCGCCCCAUUGUUCUUUGUAAACUGGUGUAGUUUUUAUUUUUUUAUUUUUUGUCCUUUGGUUUUGAAUAGAUAACUAGAAAUGUAAUGGGGAGGUUGUCAAAAACAGAAUGUAGUUACCAAAUGUCCAUUAAAACCUUUUUCUAAAAAAAAAAAAAAA
RNAcentral lists this long non-coding RNA (1501 nucleotides) under Homo sapiens (human). RNAcentral's name for it is "novel transcript". Lineage: Eukaryota; Metazoa; Chordata; Mammalia; Primates; Hominidae. The record is from RNAcentral.